This 354-nucleotide unclassified non-coding RNA is filed under the name soil metagenome. RNAcentral's name for it is "partial contains 5.8S ribosomal RNA, internal transcribed spacer 2, and large subunit ribosomal RNA". The stretch from base 1 to 119 matches the Rfam family "5.8S ribosomal RNA", at positions 35 to 154 of the family's 154-position model. The record is from RNAcentral.
GAUGAAGAACGUAGCGAAACGCGAAAGGUAAUGCGAAUUGCAGAAUCAGUGAGUCAUCGAAUCUUUGAACGCACAUUGCGCCCCUUGGUAUUCCGGGGGGCACGCCUGUUCGAGCGCCAUUACACACCCCAAGCUAAGCUUGAUGUUGGGCGAUGACUGUCACAGGACACGCCUGGAACGUAUGGGCGCCGCCGCCGGAUCACGAGUGUAGCAAGACGCAAGUCAUCGCUCGGUCGGUCCUGGCGGUUGGCCGCCGCGGCUCAUGGUAACACAUGGGCCAGUAACUUUUCACAAGUUUGGCCUCGAAUCAGGCGGGGAUACCCGCUGAACUUAAGCAUAUCAAUAAGCGGAGGA